GAAUAGUCCAAACACAAAUAAAUUAAUUACAUAGAAAACCAAGGGACAAACACACACUGCUUCAGGAACGUUCAGAAAAGGUAAAGACAGGCAGAUCUUAUUAUCAGAAUAGUUCUAGUAGUUCCAGAACAUCAGAGAAUCCUGUUCAGCAAGUUUUCAGCUCAAGUAGUGUAUAUGCAUUCAUAAGAAACUGAAUUACGGAGGAAGUUUGGCUUUCGUCAUCUGAGUAUGGUCCAAACAUUGCUGGGAAGAGUGAAGGAAUCUUCCGUGUUUAAAUCUACUUUGUUGCUUUGGGACACGAAGUGCCUGUUCAUUUUCUCAGACUCUCCAGCUUCUAAUUCCCAUGUAAUAACCAACAAACUGAGUGAAAAGCAUUUCCAGAGAGACAGAGUGGAAUCACAGGUCACAGCAUCUGUCUCUGACCACCUCAUCUCCCUUCUUGCCCCAGAUGACAACAUUGGGAUUGAAACCAUUCAAAUGCAGCCUUCGUGAGAUGGCAGAACCAAGUCUACCUGGCCAUAGAGAACAAGAGAUUUCAUUCUACUUUGGCCUUUGAGGAGAUCUAUUAGAAGAUUUUUCUAAUAUGCUAUUUUAAAAAACAAUAAAAGUGUACCAUCCUGCAUUCCUGCAUCAGAGUUUUUCCUGUAUUCCUGCCAAUUUGGCCUCUACUGAAGACCCAACUGCUUUUCAUUUGUACUAGUUCUUCCAAGUGCAAGGAAAACCUUACUUUUUA
Peromyscus leucopus (white-footed mouse) is the source of this 733-nucleotide long non-coding RNA. RefSeq lists it as uncharacterized. The transcript is spliced from 3 exons. Lineage: Eukaryota; Metazoa; Chordata; Mammalia; Rodentia; Cricetidae. The record is from RefSeq and is a predicted model, not a curated record.